GACGAACGCUGGCGGCGUGCUUAACACAUGCAAGUUGAACGGAAAGGCCUGCUUUCCCUUGUGGAUUGCGGGUACUCGAGUGGCGAACGGGUGAGUAACACGUGAGUGAUCUGCCCCCAACUUGGGUAUAAGCCUGGGAAACUGGGUCUAAUUCCCGAUAGGACUGCAGGGUGGUGCCUGUGGUGGAAAACGAUUUUCUAGUGGUUGGGGAUGAGCUCGCGGCCUAUCAGCUUGUUGGUGGGGUAAUGGCCUACCAAGGCGGCGACGGGUAGCCGGCCUGGGAGGGUGGACGGCCACAUUGGGACUGAGAUACGGCCCAGACUCCUACGGGAGGCAGCAGUGGGGAAUAUUGCACAAUGGGCGGAAGCCUGAUGCAGCGACGCCGCGUGGGGGAUGACGGCCUUCGGGUUGUAAACUCCUUUCGACCGCGAGGAAGCCACCUGGUUGGAAGGGUGGUGACGGUAGUGGUAGAAGAAGCACCGGCUAACUACGUG
This 494-nucleotide ribosomal RNA is filed under the name uncultured bacterium. Its description in RNAcentral is "partial 16S ribosomal RNA". It matches the Rfam family "Bacterial small subunit ribosomal RNA", at positions 28 to 507 of the family's 1533-position model. The record is from RNAcentral.